RNAcentral lists this ribosomal RNA (254 nucleotides) under uncultured bacterium. Its description in RNAcentral is "partial 16S ribosomal RNA". It matches the Rfam family "Bacterial small subunit ribosomal RNA", at positions 524 to 776 of the family's 1533-position model. The record is from RNAcentral.
GACAGAGGGGGCAAGCGUUGCUCGGAAUCACUGGGCGUAAAGGGCGCGUAGGCGGUCAGCACAAGUCAGUUGUGAAAUCUCCGGGCUUAACUCGGAAAGGUCAACUGAUACUGUGCGACUAGAGUGCAGAAGGGGCAACUGGAAUUCUCGGUGUAGCGGUGAAAUGCGUAGAUAUCGAGAGGAACACCUGCGGCGAAGGCGGGUUGCUGGGCUGACACUGACGCUGAUGCGCGAAAGCCAGGGGAGCGAACGGG